RNAcentral lists this ribosomal RNA (496 nucleotides) under uncultured bacterium. RNAcentral's name for it is "partial 16S ribosomal RNA". It matches the Rfam family "Bacterial small subunit ribosomal RNA", at positions 29 to 507 of the family's 1533-position model. The record is from RNAcentral.
AUGAACGCUGGCGGCGUGCCUAAUACAUGCAAGUCGAGCGAACAGACGAGGAGCUUGCUCCUCUGACGUUAGCGGCGGACGGGUGAGUAACACGUGGAUAACCUACCUAUAAGACUGGGAUAACUUCGGGAAACCGGAGCUAAUACCGGAUAAUAUAUUGAACCGCAUGGUUCAAUAGUGAAAGACGGUUUUGCUGUCACUUAUAGAUGGAUCCGCGCCGCAUUAGCUAGUUGGUAAGGUAACGGCUUACCAAGGCAACGAUGCGUAGCCGACCUGAGAGGGUGAUCGGCCACACUGGAACUGAGACACGGUCCAGACUCCAACGGGAGGCAGCAGUAGGGAAUCUUCCGCAAUGGGCGAAAGCCUGACGGAGCAACGCCGCGUGAGUGAUGAAGGUCUUCGGAUCGUAAAACUCUGUUAUUAGGGAAGAACAAAUGUGUAAGUAACUAUGCACGUCUUGACGGUACCUAAUCAGAAAGCCACGGCUAACUACGUG